RNAcentral lists this long non-coding RNA (296 nucleotides) under Elaeis guineensis (African oil palm). RNAcentral's name for it is "long non-coding RNA (EGUI_LNC054451)". The record is from RNAcentral. Lineage: Eukaryota; Viridiplantae; Streptophyta; Magnoliopsida; Arecales; Arecaceae.
CUCGAAAGAAGCGAUCCAUGCACUGAUCUAUUCAGAUCAAUCACCAUCCCUAUGAUGAUCCUAUGAUCAGGAGCAAUUUAUAAAUUAACCAUCAAUGACACAUAUCUCAAAUUCUCAAUUCUUUGAGAAUAUGUGUCAUCAUCUUGUUAAUCCCUUGAAUGAUUCAUGGACACAUAAGCAUAAAUGGUAUUAUAAAUGCCCAAUAAGUACAAAAUAAUAUCCUAAAGAUAUAAUAUGUGUCAAUCAAGAUUAGCUUUUAGGGAAUACAUCCAACAUAGCACUCCUGGGAGGCAACC